GACUGAGCAAGCAUUGGAAUCAGUCCAUCAAGACUUCAAACAAUUUUGGGAAAUACGAAAGAAUUCUUUCAUUACAAAUCCAAAGAUGAUUCUAUAUGGGCAUUGUAUUCCUGUAGACCUACAUUAUCCUCUUCAA
This is a non-coding RNA of Hydra vulgaris (swiftwater hydra), 136 nucleotides long. The record is from RefSeq and is a predicted model, not a curated record. Lineage: Eukaryota; Metazoa; Cnidaria; Hydrozoa; Anthoathecata; Hydridae.